This 639-nucleotide ribosomal RNA is filed under the name Meyerozyma guilliermondii. RNAcentral's name for it is "eukaryotic LSU rRNA". The stretch from base 229 to 382 matches the Rfam family "5.8S ribosomal RNA". Lineage: Eukaryota; Fungi; Ascomycota; Pichiomycetes; Serinales; Debaryomycetaceae. The record is from RNAcentral.
UGGUGAUAGAAAAAAAAAAAUACAAGGUUUCCGUAGGUGAACCUGCGGAAGGAUCAUUACAGUAUUCUUUUGCCAGCGCUUAACUGCGCGGCGAAAAACCUUACACACAGUGUCUUUUUGAUACAGAACUCUUGCUUUGGUUUGGCCUAGAAAUAGGUUGGGCCAGAGGUUUAACAAAACACAAUUUAAUUAUUUUUAUUGAUAGUCAAAUUUUGAAUUAAUCUUCAAAACUUUCAACAACGGAUCUCUUGGUUCUCGCAUCGAUGAAGAACGCAGCGAAAUGCGAUAAGUAAUAUGAAUUGCAGAUUUUCGUGAAUCAUCGAAUCUUUGAACGCACAUUGCGCCCUCUGGUAUUCCAGAGGGCAUGCCUGUUUGAGCGUCAUUUCUCUCUCAAACCCCCGGGUUUGGUAUUGAGUGAUACUCUUAGUCGAACUAGGCGUUUGCUUGAAAAGUAUUGGCAUGGGUAGUACUGGAUAGUGCUGUCGACCUCUCAAUGUAUUAGGUUUAUCCAACUCGUUGAAUGGUGUGGCGGGAUAUUUCUGGUAUUGUUGGCCCGGCCUUACAACAACCAAACAAGUUUGACCUCAAAUCAGGUAGGAAUACCCGCUGAACUUAAGCAUAUCAAAAAGGGGGAAGAAA